GACGAACGCUGGCGGCGUGCUUAACACAUGCAAGUCGAACGGAAAGGCCCUGCUUUUGUGGGGUACUCGAGUGGCGAACGGGUGAGUAACACGUGAGUAACCUGCCCUUGACUUUGGGAUAACUUCAGGAAACUGGGGCUAAUACCGGAUAGGAGCUCCUGCUGCAUGGUGGGGGUUGGAAAGUUUCGGCGGUUGGGGAUGGACUCGCGGCUUAUCAGCUUGUUGGUGGGGUAGUGGCUUACCAAGGCUUUGACGGGUAGCCGGCCUGAGAGGGUGACCGGCCACAUUGGGACUGAGAUACGGCCCAGACUCCUACGGGAGGCAGCAGUGGGGAAUAUUGCACAAUGGGUGGAAGCCUGAUGCAGCAACGCCGUGUGCGGGAUGACGGCCUUCGGGUUGUAAACCGCUUUCGCUCAUGACGAAGCUUUGUGUGACGGUAGUGGGUAAAGAAGCACCGGCUAACUACGUG
RNAcentral lists this ribosomal RNA (469 nucleotides) under uncultured bacterium. RNAcentral describes it as "partial 16S ribosomal RNA". It matches the Rfam family "Bacterial small subunit ribosomal RNA", at positions 28 to 507 of the family's 1533-position model. The record is from RNAcentral.